Molecule: ribosomal RNA, 588 nt
Filed under: uncultured marine eukaryote
Lineage: Eukaryota
Description: SSU rRNA
Rfam family: Eukaryotic small subunit ribosomal RNA
Source: RNAcentral
AACCUGGUUGAUCCUGCCAGUAGUCAUAUGCUUGUCUCAAAGACUAAGCCAUGCAUGUCUAAGUAUAAGUAUUAUACAGCGAAACUGCGAAUGGCUCAUUAAAACAGCUAUAGUUUAUUUGAUAAUCUAACUACAUGGAUACCCGUAGUAAUUCUAGAGCUAAUACAUGCUGUACACCGAACUUCAUGGGGAGGUGGUAUUUAUUAGAUAACAACCAAUAUUCCGAAGGUCUAUCGUGGUGAAUCAUAAUAACUGAUCGAAUCGUAAAGCCUAUGGCGACGAUAAGUCAUUCAAGUUUCUGCCCCAUCAGCUUUAGAUGGUAGUGUAUUGGACUACCAUGGCAUUCACGGGUAACGGAGGAUUAGGGUUCGAUUCCGGAGAGGGAGCCUGAGAAACGGCUACCACAUCUAAGGAAGGCAGCAGGCGCGUAAAUUACCCAAUCCUGACUCAGGGAGGUAGUGACAAGAAAUAACGGACCGGGGCCUUACGGCUUCGGGAUUGCAAUGAGCCGAAUUUACACCCCUUAGCGAAGAUCGAUUGGAGGGCAAGUCUGGUGCCAGCAGCCGCGGUAAUUCCAGCUCCAAUAGC